UAAGGUUAAGUUAAUAAGGGCGCACGGUGGAUGCCUUGGCACUAGGAGCCGACGAAGGACGUGACAAACGACGAUAUGCCUUGGGUAGCUGUAAGUAAGCGAUGAUCCAGGGAUUUCCGAAUGGGGGAACCCAACAGGUAAUACCUGUUACCCACAUCUGUUAAGGAUGUGAGGAGGAAGACGCAGUGAACUGAAACAUCUAAGUAGCUGCAGGAAGAGAAAGCAAAAGCGAUUGCCUUAGUAGCGGCGAGCGAAACGGCAGAAGGGCAAACCGAAGAGUUUACUCUUCGGGGUUGUAGGACUGCAAUGUGGACUCAAAGAUUAUAGAAGAAUGAUUUGGGAAGAUCAGCCAAAGAGAGUAAUAGCCUCGUAUUUAAAAUAGUCUUUGUACCUAGCAGUAUCCUGAGUACGGCGGGACACGUGAAAUCCCGUCGGAAUCUGGGAGGACCAUCUCCCAACCCUAAAUACUCCCUAGUGACCGAUAGUGAACCAGUACCGUGAGGGAAAGGUGAAAAGCACCCCGGGAGGGGAGUGAAAUAGAACCUGAAACCGUGUGCCUACAACAAGUUCGAGCCCGUUAAUGGGUGAGAGCGUGCCUUUUGUAGAAUGAACCGGCGAGUUACGUUAUGAUGCGAGGUUAAGUUGAAGAGACGGAGCCGUAGGGAAACCGAGUCUGAAUAGGGCGCCUUAGUAUCAUGACGUAGACCCGAAACCAUGUGACCUACCCAUGAGCAGGUUGAAGGUGCGGUAAGACGCACUGGAGGACCGAACCAGGGCACGUUGAAAAGUGCUUGGAUGACUUGUGGGUAGCGGAGAAAUUCCAAACGAACUUGGAGAUAGCUGGUUCUCUCCGAAAUAGCUUUAGGGCUAGCGUCGACAUUAGAGAUUCUUGGAGGUAGAGCACUGUUUGGGUGAGGGGUCCAUCCCGGAUUACCAAUCUCAGAUAAACUCCGAAUGCCAAUGAAUUAUGGUCGGCAGUCAGACUGCGAGUGCUAAGAUCCGUAGUCGAAAGGGAAACAGCCCAGACCACCAGCUAAGGUCCCAAAAUAAUUGUUAAGUGGAAAAGGAUGUGGGGUUGCACAGACAACUAGGAUGUUAGCUUAGAAGCAGCUAUUCAUUCAAAGAGUGCGUAAUAGCUCACUAGUCGAGUGACCCUGCGCCGAAAAUGUACCGGGGCUAAAACAAUUUACCGAAGCUGUGGAUACCUUUAUAGGUAUGGUAGGAGAGCGUUCUAUGUGUGAUGAAGGUAUACCGUGAGGAGUGCUGGAACGCAUAGAAGUGAGAAUGCCGGUAUGAGUAGCGAAAGACAGGUGAGAAUCCUGUCCACCGUAAGACUAAGGUUUCCAGGGGAAGGCUCGUCCGCCCUGGGUUAGUCGGGACCUAAGGAGAGACCGAAAGGUGUAUCCGAUGGACAACAGGUUGAUAUUCCUGUACUAGAGUAUGUAGUGAUGGAGGGACGCAGUAGGCUAACUAAAGCAGACGAUUGGAAGAGUCUGUCUAAGCAGUGAGGUGUGAAUUGAGUCAAAUGCUUAAUUCUAUAACAUUGAGCUGUGAUGGGGAGCGAAGUUUAGUAGCGAAGUUAGUGACGUCACACUGCCAAGAAAAGCUUCUAGCGUUUAAACAUACUCUACCCGUACCGCAAACCGACACAGGUA
RNAcentral lists this ribosomal RNA (1655 nucleotides) under Streptococcus pneumoniae. RNAcentral describes it as "bacterial LSU rRNA". It matches the Rfam family "Bacterial large subunit ribosomal RNA", at positions 1 to 1665 of the family's 2925-position model. Lineage: Bacteria; Bacillati; Bacillota; Bacilli; Lactobacillales; Streptococcaceae. The record is from RNAcentral.